This 102-nucleotide small nuclear RNA is filed under the name Pelusios castaneus (West African mud turtle). The record is from RNAcentral. Lineage: Eukaryota; Metazoa; Chordata; Testudines; Pelomedusidae.
UUGCUUCUGCAGCACAUAUACUAAAAUUGGAGUGGUACAGGGAAGAUUAGCAUGGUCCUUGUGCAAGGAUUCAUGUAAAUUCAUGAAAUGUUUCCAUGUUCA